CAUUUGUUGAGCCAACUUCCUGCCAGUUUCCCACAACCAAAGUCAGUGGGAAAGUUGGUAGGAAGUUGUAAGUUCCAGGCUGGCAGGCAGCAUUGAAGACAAGACAGCUGUUUGUCAAUCAAGGGCAAUGCCUUGUCAUUUCAUGGCCUCCUGCAGAAGAUAAAUAUGGGGUCUAUGUGUGCUUAGUCAGCUUUGCCCAUUCCCUUUUUUAUAAGUUCUGUGAAAAGAACUGGAAGCAGGGCCUUUAAGUCUGAACUUCAAGAAGCUUGUCCAGCUUCCUUUGAUGGCAGGUGAAGAGAAGCUGCUGGGAUGAUGCCCACCUUAACCUUCAGUGCUCCUCUACUGCACUUGUUGCUAAUGAAGAAAAAAAUGGCUGGCCUCUUUGUUUGGCUUGUGCUUCUUGGAGGAAGAACAUCAGGAGAAAAGGUGACCAUGGAACCUGAUUGCAUCUAGACCACACAAACAAGGUCUUCCUGUGGACCCUCUUUCAAUGCCAUCACCCAUUCCUGGCAGCUUCAUCAUCAUCAUCAUCUUCUUCUCAAGUAGUAUCUGGACAGAUUGCAAGAUUCCCAAAAUACUGCAUCAUUCUCCCUCCCCUUCUUUCUUUGGAUGCACCAGAUAACAGUAAUAGUAGUGAUGAUGAUGAUGUAUGUAAUAAUGUUACAUAACAACCGCGAUUCUCAGCCUAAAAUGGAGGCAAAAGGAAAAGCUGUUCUUAUUUAGAAGGCAGAGCUAAGGCAGACAGGGCAAGCUGUUCCACCCACUAGAUGAAAAAGUGAAACCCCAGCUUUCUGUCUAGAAAGAGGGGAAUUCAACUCCUUUCCAGCCAGCAUCAUUUUUAAUAACUGAGAGCUAUAUAAAAAUCAUACUCAUUGUUGC
Molecule: long non-coding RNA, 879 nt
Organism: Pantherophis guttatus
Lineage: Eukaryota; Metazoa; Chordata; Lepidosauria; Squamata; Colubridae
Source: RefSeq, a predicted model, not a curated record